UAAAACCUGUAAAACUAAUUACAUCCUCCGAAUGCAACUCA
RNAcentral lists this transfer RNA (41 nucleotides) under Aphaniotis fusca (Dusky earless agama). RNAcentral's name for it is "partial tRNA-Ala". Lineage: Eukaryota; Metazoa; Chordata; Lepidosauria; Squamata; Agamidae. The record is from RNAcentral.